UACAGAGGUCUCGAGCGUUAAUCGGAAUUACUGGGCUUAAAGGGUGCGUAGGCGGCGUGGCAAGUUGGGUGUGAAAUCCCUCGGCUCAACCGAGGAACUGCGCUCAAUACUGCCAUGCUCGAGGGAGACAGAGGUGAGCGGAACUUAGGGUGGAGCGGUGAAAUGCGUUGAUAUCCUAAGGAACACCGGUAGCGAAAGCGGCUCACUGGGUCUUUUCUGACGCUGAGGCACGAAAGCUAGGGUAGCGAACGGG
Molecule: ribosomal RNA, 253 nt
Filed under: uncultured bacterium
Lineage: Bacteria
Description: partial 16S ribosomal RNA
Rfam family: Bacterial small subunit ribosomal RNA
Source: RNAcentral